Molecule: ribosomal RNA, 472 nt
Filed under: Stenomorpha luctata
Lineage: Eukaryota; Metazoa; Arthropoda; Insecta; Coleoptera; Tenebrionidae
Description: eukaryotic LSU rRNA
Source: RNAcentral
AGAGUACGUGAAACCGUUCAGGGGUAAACCUGAGAAACCCGAAAGGUCGAAAGGGGAGAUUCAGCGUGUCUCGAUUGCGGCGCUGGAUGGUCGUGCGACGGAAGACGUACGCGUCAUCCGCACCUUCCGUCCUCCGAACCGUAUUCGAACGCGUGCACUUCUCCCCCUGUAGGACGUCGCGAUCCGUUGGGUGCCGGUCUAAGGCCCGCAGUGGAGCCCGUUCGGACGGUUUACCGUUCCGGACGAACCUGCGGUGUUUCCCGGUCGGCUCGCUCGACGGUAUACAGAUGGCGCGGGGCCGCUACACAUUAGUUAGCGUCCGACCGGCGGCAAGCGCGCUCGUCGUGACGGUGAUCGGACCUGGUGCCGGUCCUGUCCCCGAGUGGCUGUUCGCUGCCGUGUUCUCGGACAGACCUCGUCGAAACGCCGAUCUGCGACGCUAUAGCUUUGGGUACUUUCAGGACCCGUCUUG